Molecule: ribosomal RNA, 432 nt
Filed under: Cambarus coosawattae
Lineage: Eukaryota; Metazoa; Arthropoda; Malacostraca; Decapoda; Cambaridae
Description: partial 16S ribosomal RNA
Rfam family: Bacterial large subunit ribosomal RNA
Source: RNAcentral
AUUAGUUUUUUAAUUGAAGGCUAGAAUGAAUGGUUGGACAAGAAGCAAACUGUCUUUGGUUAAUAUAUUGAAUUUAACUUUUAAGUGAAAAGGCUUAAAUAAUCUGAAGGGACGAUAAGACCCUAUAAAACUUUAUAUUGAGAAGUAAUGGGCAGGUUUUGUUUAGAAGUUAUUAUUUUUAGAGUAUUUGGUUGGGGCGACAAGGAUAAAAAGAAAGUAACUGUUCUUUUAUUUUACAAUAAUGUUUGGGUAUAAUGAUCCUAAUAUGGAUUAAAGAUUAAGUUACUUUAGGGAUAACAGCGUAAUUUUCUUUGAGAGUUCUUAUCGAUAAGAGAGUUUGCGACCUCGAUGUUGAAUUAAAGGUUCUUUAUGGAGUAGAGACUAUAAGAGAAGGUCUGUUCGACCUUUAAAACUUUACAUGAUUUGAGUUCA